RNAcentral lists this long non-coding RNA (2115 nucleotides) under Ursus maritimus (polar bear). Its description in RNAcentral is "lncRNA (ENSUMAG00000019213.1)". The record is from RNAcentral. Lineage: Eukaryota; Metazoa; Chordata; Mammalia; Carnivora; Ursidae.
CUUGGAUCCUCUUCCUCCCCUCUCUAUAAAAAGAGGAUCUCUACCUCUGAGAGUGACUGUGAGGUUGAAAAAAAGUAUGUCCAACAUUAUGGGAGUUGUUCAAUACAUAUUCAUUUCAUCCUUUUCUCAUGAAUCUUUUCCUCUUCUUGACUUUAUGAUUCAGUACUUCCUGGAAUUCUCAGGCACUAGAAGUUUUCCAGAGAGCUUAAACUGCUUAAUUAGCUUCUGAGCUCUUCCAGCAUCUUUCUGAGAGAGGUGAGUGGUAGAGAUGGAUCAGAAAUCAGACAAACUGGGCUUUGCUUGCUGGCCCAGCAGAACGCCCUCACAUGCCAUUUCCCCCCUGUUCUCAUGGGGCAAGAAUGGGAUUGUAUCAAACAAGGGACUCUCCACCAAGACGCUCCACGCAGCAUAUGGAAUCAGUGUGGCCUGUGGCCAUUGCUUGUGCACCUUGCUGCCUGCAGAGUCAUCUAUGAGGGCCUGAAAUCUCCUAAAGUGUUGGGACUGGGGUCCAACAAGAGGCCGUGGGAAGAGCAGACAUCAGCUGGCUGGUACACAUCCCUGCAUGGCCUGGAGCCUCGGGGCCCCUCAAGUAUACAAGUCAUUGCUGUGUCUGUUCCCAUCAGCCAAUGGAUUUUUAGGAUUCGCUGGAUCACAUUCGACCGUGGUCAUUUAGACAGUCAAAACAAGGAUAUACCAUGUGAAGCCCUAACUAACUGAGGAAGAAGGAAGAACACAUUCCCUGGUCGGGCCUGAGCCAAAGCCAUGAGGCCCAAGGAAAUGCAAGUUCAUGGAAAUUAGAAAUAAUACCGAAAUGUGGAUGAGACCAGCUUUAGAGGUUUCAUGGAAUUCGCAGAAUGUGAUUGUCUGCAGUGAUUUUUGGCGUUCUCAGUUUGCCAAGCCAGGUAUACCAUUUUGUCUAGCCCAUCUAACAAUUUUGGUGGUAACUGUCGAGGUUGAAGAGAGUUGUCAUAGAGUGGUGAAGCCCAAACAACUGAAAUGUUUACAGUACACAAAGCAAAACAGCCAACAUUACUGGGUGAUACAGACUCUUCAUUUAUCACUUAACUAGUACACAGUGUGCCAGUGUAACUCACUACGCAGCACUGCGAACAUGCCCAGUCAUGCCUUCCUUUGUUCGCGCGUCCAUUCAUGCCUUCAAUGAUAUUAAGCACCUACUAUGAACCAGGAGGCACCCUGGUAAAUGCUGGAGUUACAAAGUUAAAGAUUAAGGCCCAUACUCUGCCCACAGGGAGCUCCCAAUCUAUCUUGCAAGAGAGAUAAGGAAAUGAAGAAUGACAAUGCACCAUGAGAAGUGCAGGUAAGAAAAGUCUGUUCGAAGUGAGUCCCAACCGUGGAUUCAUUCUCCUACAGGUUCCAUGGCGCAGCUAAGUGACACUUCUCCCCCAUCUUCAGAAUAAGGAAUGCUUGACAUAGUUUCAAUCAGUCUUUCAUUUCCAGUGUUACUUGGGGAGCCACAGCAUUACGACAAGUUGCAACAGACUCAGACACGGUUAUGGGGUUCACACUGCCGGACACACAGGGGACACGGUUUGUCAUUGCAGUUGUGGCUGACGGCUUCGUUCACUUGACAGAUAGUUACUGAGGAGCCAGGAAGUGCUCACCACUCCCAGAUUUCCUCCCAGGCUGUCCAGGUGGGCCGCUCUGCCCUUGGCAUAUGCCCUUGAGGUCUGCACCCACUUGGCCGGCUGCAGAUUUGUGGUCUUGAGGGUCUUCAAAGGAAGGCCUUCUCUUCAACUUUCAAAUCUAAGCCUUAACAUUUCAAGGCCCACUUCUUGCUCCAGAAGCAUUUGCUUUUCCUUUGUCAUUUGUGCUUUGGGUGAAAACGUGGAGUCUGUAGGUCUUGCUUAACAAAGGACUGACUCCCAUUUCGUACAGUGUGCAAACGUCCAGCCACAGGCAUUAAAAGGAGGAACAGAUAACCUGCCCCCUGCCCCCUCCCCUUUCUCCUCGGUCUCAGACCUGUGUUCUUGUCCACAGGGUUAGUGGCAAGAAAUGAAUUCGAGACGUGAGUUUCAGCUUCCGAGUCAGACUGUACGUGUAUCACUUUAUACUGGUAACAAUAAAGGGUGGUUUUACAAAUGGUCUUUUUAAUGC